This 480-nucleotide ribosomal RNA is filed under the name Triticum aestivum (bread wheat). RNAcentral's name for it is "partial small subunit ribosomal RNA". Lineage: Eukaryota; Viridiplantae; Streptophyta; Magnoliopsida; Poales; Poaceae. The record is from RNAcentral.
AUGAAAUCGACGGUGCUGCGAGGGUCCGCCUUCCGCGGUGCCAUCCCAGCGGCGGCUGCCGGUAGGCUUUCAGGGGUAGAGGGAGUAGCGGUCGUCCUCCAGCCCUCACACAGCCGUCGGCUGCAUUCCUCUACUCGAGCUGAUUUGCCUCCCAAGUCUUCACUAGACGAGUUAGAUGCACUGUAUGAGGUGGUUCGAGCAACCAAGGUUUCCUCAUUGAGUAAUGAUAUCCUUACGCGCAUCAUUGAGAGGGUUCGAGCAACCAAGGUUUCCUCAUUGAGUAAUGAUAUCCUUACGCGCAUCAUUGAGAGCUCUUCAAAUGCUCGUAGGGAGUUUGUCCAGAAGGAAGUGCGGAGGACAUGGAUGAUUUGUGCUGCAACAGUAGGUGGUUUUUUCACUGGAUUAUUAAUAACAAGGAAGAUGGAUAACAAGACAGAGAGAGAGCUCGGGAAUGAAACUUACGACAACCUCGCGAAGUAG